AAAGUGCUGUACAUGCAAGAUCACAUGUUGCCAGUUAAAUCAGGAAGAUGAUGACCAAUGACUGAAGCUAUGAUAAAAAGCAGUUCGGAAAAUAAGACAUGCAAAUGCUGAAGAGAAGACCAGCACAAAAAAAUAAACAAACAAACGGAGCUUGAAAAAUAAAAUGUAACUGAUUGUUAUGCAGUUGUUAUGAAAUAUAACUGAGAGAACGACCUUUAGAGAUAUAGAACUAGUUACUAAUUUAAUAAAUAGUUCUUUAUAUUUUGGACAAUAGGCGUAUCUGUAAUGUUGCUGAGAUAUGUAUAGUGAGAUAAAUUCCACCUGUCCUUUAAAUAUGAAGCUGCUGCCAGGAGACUUUGAUUUUUAGCCUAGAGUAAAGUCUUGAAAAAGAGAAAAGGCUUGCCUUACUCCCCAAAACAACAAAAUCAACCUACCAUCAAGUCUAAAACUUAAAAUCGGAAAUCUUGAGAUGCAUGGCUGGGUGGCUCAUGUAAGCUAAGCCAAGCUAAAAGAAUACCGUCUUUAACUUCAUAUAAGGUCGAUUUUUUUAUUAAAGCUUUUUU
Molecule: long non-coding RNA, 563 nt
Organism: Labrus mixtus (cuckoo wrasse)
Lineage: Eukaryota; Metazoa; Chordata; Actinopteri; Labriformes; Labridae
Exons: 2
Source: RefSeq, a predicted model, not a curated record